UGACGCCUUACUAUACUAUGACAUUUUUUGACCAUUUUUGACACCAUACUAUACUAUGACAUUUUUAUGACAUUUUUGACACCUUUCUACACUAUGACAUUUUUAUGACAUUUUUGAUGCCUUACUAUACUAUGAUAUUUUUUGACCAUUUUUCACAACAUACUAAACUAUGACAUUUAACCACUUUUCUUAUCCUCUUCAGGUGAUGCGGUCUCCUCCUCCAGCUGAGACGGAGCAUGUUCAUCACAGAUACUGUCCAAAGCUUCAAGUCCUGCAACUUUAUUACAAAUAUAUAUGAAGAAGGAAAAGACAGCUCUCACAUGUGAUGCGGUCUCUUCCUUCUGCAGAGAUGGAGCAUGUUCAUCACAGAAACUGCCUAAAGCUUCAAGUUCUGCAAUUUUAUUACAGAAAGACACCUCUUACAGUUUGUCAUCUUCUGACAGUGACCACACAGUAUACAAUGACAUUUUUGACACCUAUGAUAUUUUUUUAUGCCUUAAUAUACUAUGACAUUUUGCACUGUUUUUGACGCCUCACUCUACUAUAACAUGCAGCAUAAGCCAAAAAAUAUUUCAAAGCAGUCGUCUUACCUUUGAUAUUCACAGACUCACACGUCUACACAGUGUUUGUGGGUUAGGUUAGAUUUUGUGUUUGUAAUUUCAUUUUGGUAUUUUGCCAUUUCAGUGUAAUAUGUGUACAUAGUUCUGUUUAUACUGUUCAUACUGUUUAUAAUGUUUGUAUAUUGUUAUAUAUUGUUUUUUAUCUUGUCUUGUUUAUAUCAUGCCUUUUUCUAUUUUUGCUAUUACAACGCUGAAUUUUCCCACUGGGGGACUAAUUGUUUUACUUAAAUAAAUAUUUCUGAACACUGAA
Long non-coding RNA from Lates calcarifer (barramundi perch), 870 nucleotides. RefSeq lists it as uncharacterized. Lineage: Eukaryota; Metazoa; Chordata; Actinopteri; Centropomidae. The transcript has 2 exons. The record is from RefSeq and is a predicted model, not a curated record.